This 108-nucleotide non-coding RNA is filed under the name Bacillus manliponensis. Its description in RNAcentral is "SAM-I sequence". It matches the Rfam family "SAM riboswitch aptamer (S box leader)". From Rfam's summary of the family: The SAM riboswitch is found upstream of a number of genes which code for proteins involved in methionine or cysteine biosynthesis in Gram-positive bacteria. The SAM riboswitch acts at the level of transcription termination control. The predicted structure consists of a complex stem-loop region followed by a single stem loop terminator region. The record is from Rfam by way of RNAcentral. Lineage: Bacteria; Bacillati; Bacillota; Bacilli; Caryophanales; Bacillaceae.
AGCUUAUCAAGAGUGGCGGAGGGAACUGGCCCAAUGAAGCCCGGCAACCUACUGAAAGGAGUAAGGUGCUAAUUCCAGCAAAAUGGUGUCCAUUUUGAAAGAUAAGGU